GAAAUGCGAUAAGUAAUGUGAAUUGCAGAAUUCAGUGAAUCAUCGAAUCUUUGAACGCACAUUGCGCCCGCCAGUAUUCUGGAGGGCAUGCCUGUCCGAGCGUCAUUUGAACCAUCAAGCCCCCGGGCUUGUGUUGGGGACCUGCGGCUGCCCGCAGGCCCUGAAAACCAGUGGCGGGCUCGCUGUCACACCGAGCGUAGUAGCAAUCACCUCGCUCAGGGCGUGCUGCGGGUUCCGGCCGUUAAACAGCCUUACAAAACCCAAGGUUGACCUCGGAUCAGGUAGGAAGACCCGCUGAACUUAAGC
RNAcentral lists this unclassified non-coding RNA (306 nucleotides) under plant metagenome. Its description in RNAcentral is "partial contains 5.8S ribosomal RNA, internal transcribed spacer 2, and large subunit ribosomal RNA". The stretch from base 1 to 105 matches the Rfam family "5.8S ribosomal RNA", at positions 50 to 154 of the family's 154-position model. The record is from RNAcentral.